AGUGAACGCUGGCGGUAGGCCUAACACAUGCAAGUCGAACGGCAGCACAGUAAGAGCUUGCUCUUACGGGUGGCGAGUGGCGGACGGGUGAGGAAUACAUCGGAAUCUACUUUUUCGUGGGGGAUAACGUAGGGAAACUUACGCUAAUACCGCAUACGACCUACGGGUGAAAGCAGGGGAUCUUCGGACCUUGUGCGAUUGAAUGAGCCGAUGUCGGAUUAGCUAGUUGGCGGGGUAAAGGCCCACCAAGGCGACGAUCCGUAGCUGGUCUGAGAGGAUGAUCAGCCACACUGGAACUGAGACACGGUCCAGACUCCUACGGGAGGCAGCAGUGGGGAAUAUUGGACAAUGGGCGCAAGCCUGAUCCAGCCAUACCGCGUGGGUGAAGAAGGCCUUCGGGUUGUAAAGCCCUUUUGUUGGGAAAGAAAAGCAGCCGGUUAAGACCCCGCUGUUCUGACGGUACCCAAAGAAUAAGCACCGGCUAACUUCGUG
This 492-nucleotide ribosomal RNA is filed under the name uncultured bacterium. RNAcentral's name for it is "partial 16S ribosomal RNA". It matches the Rfam family "Bacterial small subunit ribosomal RNA", at positions 29 to 507 of the family's 1533-position model. The record is from RNAcentral.